Molecule: ribosomal RNA, 468 nt
Filed under: uncultured bacterium
Lineage: Bacteria
Description: partial 16S ribosomal RNA
Rfam family: Bacterial small subunit ribosomal RNA
Source: RNAcentral
GACGAACGCUGGCGGCGUGCUUAACACAUGCAAGUCGAACGGAAAGGCCCUGCUUUUGUGGGGUGCUCGAGUGGCGAACGGGUGAGUAACACGUGAGUAACCUGCCCAUGACUUUGGGAUAACUUCAGGAAACUGGGGCUAAUACCGGAUAGGAGCUCCUGCUGCAUGGUGGGGGUUGGAAAGUUUCGGCGGUUGGGGAUGGACUCGCGGCUUAUCAGCUUGUUGGUGGGGUAGUGGCUUACCAAGGCUUUGACGGGUAGCCGGCCUGAGAGGGUGACCGGCCACAUUGGGACUGUGAUACGGCCCAGACUCCUACGGGAGGCAGCGGUGGGGAAUAUUGCACAAUGGGCGGGAGCGUGAUGCAGCACCGCCGCGUGCGGGAUGACGGCCUUCGGGGUGUAAACCGCUUUCGCCUGUGACGAAGCGUGAGUGACGGUAAUGGGUAAAGAAGCACCGGCUAACUACGUG